CUAUUUACAGCUUAAAAAUAGGUGGCCCACUUGGUGGGCGGUGGCUACUGAGAGGAAGCUCCGCCGCCCACAGAUCCCCCCCAAAAAAGCCCAAAUCCAAACCGCGUAAAUUUGCCCAAAAAAAACCACCACCAUAGAAAUUAUAUAGCAAAGAACUUGAAAACACACACACCAGUGUUAGUAGAUUCAAGGCGCGAGAAUCGGAUUCGGUGCCAAUCGUUCUUUCCCUUUAUUAAAACCCCGAAUCUAAUUUCAUCUCAUUUUCCAUUUCAUUUUCAUUUUUUCAUUUUCUUGUUCUUUCUUCUUUGACUUUUCUUCUACAGAGAGGAAAAGGGGAGGAAAGAAAAAAAAAUUAUUUUUGCAAGGAUGCAGAGGCGUCAAGAUCAACGGUCGAGAUCUGUUAAACCCAUUACGGUUCAUGGGUUAGCUCAGUCUGGGGAUCUUGUUGGUCUUCAAAAGUUGCUUAAUGAUAAGCCUU
Molecule: long non-coding RNA, 478 nt
Filed under: Gossypium barbadense (sea-island cotton)
Lineage: Eukaryota; Viridiplantae; Streptophyta; Magnoliopsida; Malvales; Malvaceae
Description: long non-coding RNA (GBAR_LNC023372)
Source: RNAcentral